AUCUUGGUCAUUUAGAGGAAGUAAUGCAUAUCAAUAAGCGGAGGAUCUUGGUCAUUUAGAGGAAGUAAAAGUCGUAACAAGGUCUCCGUAGGUGAACCUGCGGAGGGAUCAUUA
This 114-nucleotide ribosomal RNA is filed under the name Microdochium sp. 5/97-37. RNAcentral describes it as "partial 18S ribosomal RNA". It matches the Rfam family "Eukaryotic small subunit ribosomal RNA", at positions 1719 to 1831 of the family's 1831-position model. The record is from RNAcentral. Lineage: Eukaryota; Fungi; Ascomycota; Sordariomycetes; Xylariales; Microdochiaceae.